CCAGCCUGUUGAGCACAUCCUGUGUGUAUUCACAGAAAUACAGAGGUGCAAGAGUGAAGGCCAUGGAGGUUUGUCACGAACAUCAAGCUGACUCUCAUGGGAGAAUGAGAGAGAAACUGACACAGCAGUAUUGUCGCCCCACUCAGACUCGGACCUAAAGAAAAACAGCAAGGCUCAAGGGGUACAUGCACAGGUUUGUUACAUGGG
Molecule: long non-coding RNA, 207 nt
Organism: Piliocolobus tephrosceles (Ugandan red Colobus)
Lineage: Eukaryota; Metazoa; Chordata; Mammalia; Primates; Cercopithecidae
Exons: 3
Source: RefSeq, a predicted model, not a curated record